Molecule: ribosomal RNA, 155 nt
Filed under: uncultured bacterium
Lineage: Bacteria
Description: partial 16S ribosomal RNA
Rfam family: Bacterial small subunit ribosomal RNA
Source: RNAcentral
CGGAUCAGCAUGCCGCGGUGAAUACGUUCCCGGGCCUUGUACACACCGCCCGUCACACCAUGGGAGUUGGGAGCACCCGAAGCCGGUGAGGUAACCGAAAGGAGCCAGCCGUCGAAGGUGAGACCAAUGACUGGGUGAAGUCGUAACAAGGUAGC